CUCUCUCCCCGUGGGGAGGCGCGGAGUCCGCCAGCACCCGGGGCCCGGGCAGAUGGCGGGGGCUGCGGCAGCGGCUCGCCGGGUCCCUGGCCGCGCAGACGGGCUCCGCCUAAGGGCGAGUGGCCACGCAGGAGCGCCCCCUUCCCGGAGGGCGCGUUCUGCAGUCACCAAACGGCCCCCGAGACCCCCGCAGCCGGAAAGGCUGGCGCCGCGGGACUCCAGGCGCCCGGGAACCCACCGCCAGCCACUAGUCCUGUCCCACGGCGCGGGAACAAAGCCAGGCGGGUGCCCGGGAGCCGGCCCCGCAAGCCCGGGGACUGGACGCGACCGGGACAGGCAGAGACGCUCGCGCCGCCUCGACGGCCCCUCUCCAGGAAAACGACUCGCCCUGAAUUCUUUCUUGUGUGAAAUCCAAGAGCCCUCUCUUGGGGUUGGAUCGGGACCCUGUUCCUGUAACAAGUCCACAAUGCCAGAGAAUUAAAGAGAACCACAAAGCUGAACCUCAAAAAGUUAGCCUGGCGAGGGGAGGAUGAUGAGAUUUCCCCUGUUGUCACAUAAACAAGGAAGUAAAGGGGGCCCCUUGUGCUCUCAGAACUCCAAGCAUGAAACGAUAGCAAAGGGAAAAACAGCUAAGUGUUUCCUGGCUGAAUUUUAUUUUGCUUUCAGUUUCUGCCAUUUCAGUUCCUGUUAUCGUGCUUUGAGGUGCACUGAACUGCAGCAAACCCAGGGGAUCCAAGGCUACGUUGAAAAGCCUUUGACCACAGUGCAGGGAGCAGAAGACAUUAAUGACGUGAUGUCGACACAGCCCGCACUCAGGAUCCUCCAGGAAAAGAACACAGAGAUAACCCCGGAUCGAUGGUACUUUUUGAAAAUGCUUUAUUGCAAAAGAGUGGCUAGGGUUUUACAAGGGCUAUGAAGAAACAUAUUAAGGUUAAUAAAGCUUUUUAUUGAGUGUUUA
Homo sapiens (human) is the source of this 958-nucleotide long non-coding RNA. RefSeq annotates it as CNN3 divergent transcript. The transcript has 4 exons. The record is from RefSeq and is marked validated. Lineage: Eukaryota; Metazoa; Chordata; Mammalia; Primates; Hominidae.